This 497-nucleotide ribosomal RNA is filed under the name uncultured bacterium. Its description in RNAcentral is "partial 16S ribosomal RNA". It matches the Rfam family "Bacterial small subunit ribosomal RNA", at positions 28 to 507 of the family's 1533-position model. The record is from RNAcentral.
GAUGAACGCUGGCGGCGUGCCUAAUACAUGCCAGUCGAGCGAACGGACGAGAAGCUUGCUUCUCUGAUGUUAGCGGCGGACGGGUGAGUAACACGUGGAUAACCUACCUAUAAGACUGGGAUAACUUCGGGAAACCGUAGCUAAUACCGGAUAAUAUUUUGAACCGCAUGGUUCAAAAGUGAAAGACGGUCUUGCUGUCACUUAUAGAUGGAUCCGCGCUGCAUUAGCUAGUUGGUAAGGUAACGGCUUACCAAGGCAACGAUGCAUAGCCGACCUGAGAGGGUGGACGGCCACACGGGAACUGAGACACGGUCCAGACUCCUACGGGAGGCAGCAGUAGGGAAUCUUCCGCAAUGGGCGAAAGCCUGACGGAGCAAAGCCGCGGGAGUGAUGAAGGUCUUCGGAUCGUAAAACUCUGUUAUUAGGGAAGAACAUAUGUGUAAGUAACUGUGCACAUCUUGACGGUACCUAAUCAGAAAGCCACGGCUAACUACGUG